GAUGAACGCUGGCGGCGUGCUUAACACAUGCAAGUCGAACGGAGAUUACUUUUUAGCUUGCUAAGUUGUAAUCUUAGUGGCGGACGGGUGAGUAACGCGUGGGCAACCUGCCUUAUACCGGGGGACAACAGUUGGAAACGACUGCUAAUACCGCAUAAGCGCACGAUGAGGCAUCUCAUAGUGUGAAAAACUCCGGUGGUAUAAGAUGGACCCGCGUCUGAUUAGCUAGUUGGCGGUGUAACGGACCACCAAGGCGACGAUCAGUAGCCGGCCUGAGAGGGUAAACGGCCACAUUGGGACUGAGACACGGCCCAAACUCCUACGGGAGGCAGCAGUGGGGAAUAUUGCACAAUGGAGGAAACUCUGAUGCAGCGACGCCGCGUGAGUGAAGAAGUAUUUCGGUAUGUAAAGCUCUAUCAGCAGGAAAGAAAAUGACGUAC
This 440-nucleotide ribosomal RNA is filed under the name bacterium AE2002. Its description in RNAcentral is "bacterial SSU rRNA". It matches the Rfam family "Bacterial small subunit ribosomal RNA", at positions 28 to 459 of the family's 1533-position model. The record is from RNAcentral.